GACAGAGGUGGCAAGCGUUGUUCGGAAUUACUGGGCUUAAAGGGUGUGUAGGCGGUUAAGUAAGCAACUUGUGAAAGCUCCAGGCUCAACCUGGGAAUUGCAAGUUGUACUGCUUGACUUGAGGCGCGUAGGGGUCAACGGAACUCUGGGUGGAGCGGUGAAAUGCGUAGAUAUCCAGGGGAACGCCAGUGGCGAAGGCGGUUGACUGGGCGCGUCCUGACGCUGAGGCACGAAAGCGUGGGUAGCGAACGGGAUUAGAUACC
Molecule: ribosomal RNA, 263 nt
Filed under: uncultured bacterium
Lineage: Bacteria
Description: partial 16S ribosomal RNA
Rfam family: Bacterial small subunit ribosomal RNA
Source: RNAcentral